UACAGAGACUGCAAGCGUUAUUCGGAUUCACUGGGCGUAAAGGGUGCGCAGGCGGCCGUGUGUGUAAGGUGUGAAAUCCCGGGGCUUAACCCCGGAACUGCGCCUUAAACUACAUGGCUAGAGUACUGGAGAGGGUAGCGGAAUUCACGGUGUAGCAGUGAAAUGCGUAGAUAUCGUGAGGAACACCAGAGGCGAAGGCGGCUACCUGGACAGUUACUGACGCUCAGGCACGAAAGCGUGGGGAGCAAAA
Molecule: ribosomal RNA, 250 nt
Filed under: uncultured bacterium
Lineage: Bacteria
Description: partial 16S ribosomal RNA
Rfam family: Bacterial small subunit ribosomal RNA
Source: RNAcentral